RNAcentral lists this ribosomal RNA (254 nucleotides) under uncultured bacterium. RNAcentral's name for it is "partial 16S ribosomal RNA". It matches the Rfam family "Archaeal small subunit ribosomal RNA", at positions 474 to 727 of the family's 1478-position model. The record is from RNAcentral.
UACCGGCGGCUCGAGUGGUGGCCGAUAUUAUUGAGUCUAAAGGGUCCGUAGCCGGCUUUGCAAGUCUUUUGGGAAAUCCAGCGGCUUAACCGUUGGGCGUCCAAGGGAUACUACAUUGCUUGGGACUGGGAGAGGCGUGAGGUACUCAGGGGGUAGGAGUGAAAUCCUGUAAUCCUUUGGGGACCACCGGUGGCGAAGGCGUCACGCCAGAACAGGUCCGACGGUGAGGGACGAAAGCUAGGGGCACGAACCGG